RNAcentral lists this ribosomal RNA (218 nucleotides) under uncultured bacterium. RNAcentral describes it as "partial 16S ribosomal RNA". It matches the Rfam family "Bacterial small subunit ribosomal RNA", at positions 524 to 741 of the family's 1533-position model. The record is from RNAcentral.
UACAGAGGGUGCGAGCGUUAAUCGGAUUUACUGGGCGUAAAGGGCGCGUAGGCGGUGAUGUGAGUGUGAUGUGAAAGCCCCGGGCUUAACCUGGGAAGUGCAUCGCAAACGACAUGACUGGAGUAGAUGAGAGGGUGGCGGAAUUUCCGGUGUAGCGGUGAAAUGCGUAGAGAUCGGAAGGAACACCAGCGGCGAAGGCGGCUUUCUGGACCAAUACU